Hibiscus syriacus is the source of this 436-nucleotide long non-coding RNA. RefSeq lists it as uncharacterized. The record is from RefSeq and is a predicted model, not a curated record. The transcript has 3 exons. Lineage: Eukaryota; Viridiplantae; Streptophyta; Magnoliopsida; Malvales; Malvaceae.
CAUUCCUCUUCAUUUCUCUCUUUCAACACAAAUGCUACUCUCUUCUUCUUCUACUUCCUUUCAUGGCCGAUUGCAACCCUUAGCCACCAUGGCCGCCGGCUUGGUGUCUAUCUCACACCCCGACCGGCGAUUAAAGGAAUCACAAGGACGAUUUAAAUGAUGACAGCACGAACCCCCUCAACUAUCUAACUCAACUGAAAACUGAAACCCAUAACUCGGGCUCCUUACUCCGGCGAUGAAACCAAAUUAAGAUCUCUCGAACAAAUCUCAAGGAUUCGGUCUUAAGCUACGAUGGUUCAAACACGCUCUCGCUUCAACAAUGGCAUGAUUGUCGGCAGCAACUAAACGGGUCAAUUCUUGAUCCGGGUCACACUUGGGCUGCUCUUGGGCUCCGGGUUUUAAUUUCUUCAAGCAUGUUGUAAUUUGUCUUUGUAGU